This is a long non-coding RNA of Arachis ipaensis, 899 nucleotides long. RefSeq lists it as uncharacterized. Lineage: Eukaryota; Viridiplantae; Streptophyta; Magnoliopsida; Fabales; Fabaceae. The record is from RefSeq and is a predicted model, not a curated record.
CCCCUAGCACUUCUCAACAUUAAAUCUUAUAUUUUGUUAUACAGUUAAACAUUUAGUUUCACAAAUCCGAUUUACAACACUGGAAUUUGCAAGGCAUAAUGAAAAGUGGAGACGGUGGAGGGGGAGGGAAGAGCAGUGUCAGAAAGAAGGGCGUUUAAGAGGAGGAAGCGUAAGAGAAGAGCGUGGUUGUUGACAGGGACAAGUUAACUACUUUAUUACCAGUACUAGUAUUUUGAAAAUCCAACGGCGUUGACACUUUGCCACCUAUGUUGCCAAUAAGCGUCUAGUCUUUUCAAACGAGUGUGGGCCCCACUCUCACCCUGGGCUCAUGAUUAAUCAUCAUCGUCAUCUCAUCCGUCCAUUUCAAUCUAAUCAAAACAGUGAAUACCUACCUCUAUGCUCUCCACCCUCACCUUAGUAAAUAGUGUAUUGGAUCCUGCCCUGCUGAGUGCUGAGUAGUGAGUGGUGCCUACUAUAACUGUAAUUCGGCACUCACCUGGAUCAUGGAGGAGUGGAGUGAGUUGUGAUGACUCCGACUGCGCGAGCACACCAAUUAAUGCUGGGAUGGAGAACACUCUAUUCGUCGCCAGGGAUCCAAUAUUAAUUACUAUAUUUUAUAUUUUGGCUUGCACUGUACAGCCUAAUAAACGUGCAUCUACUAUCAAUCCAGGUGCCAUCAAGUGUUGCUUUGAAAAGAAUUAAGCGGGGACUGAGAAAGAGAAUAGAACGGCGUCAAAAAGGGAUGAGUAACGAUUAAACAACGCGAAACAACACUCAUGAGUGAUGACAUAGGAGCGAUCAUCAUUCUGCAAGUUAAAAGGAAGGGUACCUAAGGUGAUAACUGAUGACUAACGGAGUAUGUUUGUUUGAGCGUUAUUAAAUCAAUAAAAAAAUUUUAA